RNAcentral lists this long non-coding RNA (732 nucleotides) under Equus caballus (horse). Its description in RNAcentral is "lncRNA (ENSECAG00000046153.1)". The record is from RNAcentral. Lineage: Eukaryota; Metazoa; Chordata; Mammalia; Perissodactyla; Equidae.
GUGCCGGGGCUCGGGCUCCUCACGGGGCCCUGCGGGGACGGCUCUCACUCACUUAUUUCUCUCUUUCCCGGCUCUCGGCAAGCCAGCAGCUCUCUCCUGGCUUUCAUUUUCAUUUAAGCUGAAAAAAUCAAAAACAAAUGGAAUGCACUUAAGAGAUGCCUGGAGGAGUCGGCAGUCCACCCGGCUGGGCUCCUUUCGGGGUCUUGGCAAUUAUCAAUUAUUCAUCGAGCCCUCAUUACGUUCCUGGUGCCACCAAGACAGAAAGGAGGCAGGGUCCCCACCCCGGGGACUCCCCAGGGAAGAAAGGAGAGUUUGUGAAGCUAAAACAAUGCUCCAGCUGAAAAGACAGGGAAUAAUAACAGCGAUGUCCUCCGGAGUUGUGAGCCUAAACCAUGGGGUGACACAGACGGAGCAGCCCAGCCCGACAGCGCCUCUCGGGGGGCACUUGAUGGAGCUGUGGUGAUUCUGGGAUGAAAGCAUCAUGAAAGCGCCUGGAGGUCACGCAGACAAAGCAGCAGGCAAGGCCCUCAGAGAAGGGCCACCUGGAGCAGAGCGGGAAGAGAAGGCGCCUUUAUCAGGUGGAAUGCAGGGGCGGGACAAAAGGAAAAGAAAACCCCGCCCCGGCCGGCUCCUAAGACUGGGAAUGAUGAGGUCCUGUGUCCAGGGCUCUGCAGAGCCCUUAUCAGUGUCCCUGUGACACUGACCGGGGAUGAGGACGGUGCUGAGAUGGAG